CCUACGUGAGGCAGCAGUGGGGAAUAUUGCACAAUGGGGGAAACCCUGAUGCAGCAACGCCGCGUGGGUGAAGGAGCGUUUCGGCGCGUAAAGCCCUGUCAGCGGGGAAGAAGAAAGACGGUACCCGACCAAGAAGCCCCGGCUAACUACGUGCCAGCAGCCGCGGUAAUACGUAGGGGGCGAGCGUUAUCCGGAAUUACUGGGUGUAAAGGGAGCGUAGACGGCGAGGCAAGUCUGAAGUGAAAGGCGGGGGCCCAACCCCUGGACUGCUUUGGAAACUGUAUGGCUGGAGUGCAGGAGAGGUAAGUGGAAUUCCUAGUGUAGCGGUGAAAUGCGUAGAUAUUAGGAGGAACACCAGUGGCGAAGGCGGCUUACUGGACUGUAACUGACGUUGAGGCUCGAAAGCGUGGGGAGCAAACAGGAUUAGAUACCCGGGUAGUC
RNAcentral lists this ribosomal RNA (441 nucleotides) under uncultured bacterium. RNAcentral describes it as "partial 16S ribosomal RNA". It matches the Rfam family "Bacterial small subunit ribosomal RNA", at positions 338 to 795 of the family's 1533-position model. The record is from RNAcentral.